This 1480-nucleotide ribosomal RNA is filed under the name Klebsiella quasipneumoniae subsp. similipneumoniae. RNAcentral describes it as "partial 23S ribosomal RNA". It matches the Rfam family "Bacterial large subunit ribosomal RNA", at positions 1 to 1527 of the family's 2925-position model. The record is from RNAcentral. RNAcentral also lists the same sequence under 1 other name. Lineage: Bacteria; Pseudomonadati; Pseudomonadota; Gammaproteobacteria; Enterobacterales; Enterobacteriaceae.
GGUUAAGCGACUAAGCGUACACGGUGGAUGCCCUGGCAGUCAGAGGCGAUGAAGGACGUGCUAAUCUGCGAAAAGCGUCGGUAAGGUGAUAUGAACCGUUACAGCCGGCGAUGUCCGAAUGGGGAAACCCAGUGCAAUUCGUUGCACUAUCGUUAACUGAAUACAUAGGUUAACGAGGCGAACCGGGGGAACUGAAACAUCUAAGUACCCCGAGGAAAAGAAAUCAACCGAGAUUCCCCCAGUAGCGGCGAGCGAACGGGGAGCAGCCCAGAGUCUGAAUCAGCUUGUGUGUUAGUGGAACGGUCUGGAAAGUCCGACGGUACAGGGUGAUAGUCCCGUACACCAAAAUGCACAGGCUGUGAACUCGAAGAGUAGGGCGGGACACGUGGUAUCCUGUCUGAAUAUGGGGGGACCAUCCUCCAAGGCUAAAUACUCCUGACUGACCGAUAGUGAACCAGUACCGUGAGGGAAAGGCGAAAAGAACCCCGGCGAGGGGAGUGAAAAAGAACCUGAAACCGUGUACGUACAAGCAGUGGGAGCACCUUUAUGGUGUGACUGCGUACCUUUUGUAUAAUGGGUCAGCGACUUAUAUUCUGUAGCAAGGUUAACCGUAUAGGGGAGCCGCAGGGAAACCGAGUCUUAACUGGGCGUUAAGUUGCAGGGUAUAGACCCGAAACCCGGUGAUCUAGCCAUGGGCAGGUUGAAGGUUGGGUAACACUAACUGGAGGACCGAACCGACUAAUGUUGAAAAAUUAGCGGAUGACUUGUGGCUGGGGGUGAAAGGCCAAUCAAACCGGGAGAUAGCUGGUUCUCCCCGAAAGCUAUUUAGGUAGCGCCUCGUGAAUUCAUCUUCGGGGGUAGAGCACUGUUUCGGCUAGGGGGUCAUCCCGACUUACCAACCCGAUGCAAACUACGAAUACCGAAGAAUGUUAUCACGGGAGACACACGGCGGGUGCUAACGUCCGUCGUGAAGAGGGAAACAACCCAGACCGCCAGCUAAGGUCCCAAAGUCAUGGUUAAGUGGGAAACGAUGUGGGAAGGCACAGACAGCCAGGAUGUUGGCUUAGAAGCAGCCAUCAUUUAAAGAAAGCGUAAUAGCUCACUGGUCGAGUCGGCCUGCGCGGAAGAUGUAACGGGGCUAAACCAUGCACCGAAGCUGCGGCAGCGACACUAUGUGUUGUUGGGUAGGGGAGCGUUCUGUAAGCCUGCGAAGGUGACCUGUGAGGGUUGCUGGAGGUAUCAGAAGUGCGAAUGCUGACAUAAGUAACGAUAAAGCGGGUGAAAAGCCCGCUCGCCGGAAGACCAAGGGUUCCUGUCCAACGUUAAUCGGGGCAGGGUGAGUCGACCCCUAAGGCGAGGCCGAAAGGCGUAGUCGAUGGGAAACAGGUUAAUAUUCCUGUACUUGGUGUUACUGCGAAGGGGGGACGGAGAAGGCUAUGUUAGCCGGGCGACGGUUGUCCCGGUUUAAGCAUGUAGGCUG